This 75-nucleotide transfer RNA is filed under the name Capra hircus (goat). It matches the Rfam family "tRNA". Rfam says of the family: Transfer RNA (tRNA) molecules are approximately 80 nucleotides in length. Lineage: Eukaryota; Metazoa; Chordata; Mammalia; Artiodactyla; Bovidae. RNAcentral also lists the same sequence under 1 other name. The record is from Rfam by way of RNAcentral.
UCCCUGGUGGUCCAGUGGCUAAAGGACUUUGUGCUCCCAAGGCAGGGGGCCUGGGUUCGAUUCCUGGUCAAGGAA